RNAcentral lists this ribosomal RNA (253 nucleotides) under uncultured bacterium. Its description in RNAcentral is "partial 16S ribosomal RNA". It matches the Rfam family "Bacterial small subunit ribosomal RNA", at positions 524 to 776 of the family's 1533-position model. The record is from RNAcentral.
UACGGGGGGGGUAAGCGUUGUUCGGAAUUACUGGGCGUAAAGGGCUCGUAGGCGGCCAACUAAGUCAGACGUGAAAUCCCUCAGCUUAACUGGGGAACUGCGUCUGAUACUGGAUGGCUCGAGUUUGGGAGAGGGAUGCGGAAUUCCAGGUGUAGCGGUGAAAUGCGUAGAUAUCUGGAGGAACACCGGUGGCGAAGGCGGCAUCCUGGACCAACACUGACACUGAGGAGCGAAAGCCAGGGGAGCAAACGGG